GCAACCCUGUGCUCAACACAGACUUUAUUUAAAGGUGGUUCAGAGCGAAGCCUCUGAUGUGAGAUAACCGUCCUACACACGUUGAGGAAGAAGACGGCACUGGAUGACUGGAUCCAGAGUGAAUACCGAAGUUCUUCAUAAACAAGAAAGGAGACCCCUAAACACACAACCACUCCUGCAGUACAAACACAGGUUGUGGCAGGCCGGUAGAUGAUGAAGUGAUGGAGAUGUUAGGAGGCCAUGGCCAUUGUGAUGCUGGGUGGCUGUUAGUCUGGAACUGCCAUCUGCCGAAAGGUUGAGAACUGGACCCGAGUCAUGUAACCUUCAGGACCGUCCUGUGGUUGGUGAGGUAGCGAAGAUCUCUGCCCCUCUCGCUGGAGUCCACAAACUCACGGCUGAACAUCCGGCCAAAGUCUACAUUGUCACUGCAGCCCCCCCAGUGCCAGUCUGGCCCUCCAGGACCUCUGCGACGGUAAUCGCAUGUGCAAGACUCAAUGGCCCCUUCUGAGCAUGAGCGAGCCACAGCGUGGGUCACCCCUGCGCUGGUAAUGGCAAAGAGAAAUGCUGUCUCUCGGCAACCUAAAGAAACAACAUCAAAACUUCCCAUCAGAAACAAUUCCAGCCUUUUACACUCGACUGUGCCAAUUUCUUUGCCUAACAUUUGAAAAUAUUUUGAGACAAAGUGUACAAGAGAUUCCAUUACAUCCUGGCCAAAAUUGUCCAAAUAAUGCUAGUGAGAAAAACAAGAGAGGCUCACCACGAUUGACAAUUUUCCCAAAGACUGCUGGGCUGUGGGUGGUCGGGCAGUUCCAGCGGCGGUUGCGGAACUGCCACUUGCACUCCUUUAUGGCAGUGUGCAGCCCUGCAGCGAUGGCAUGCAAGAUGCCAGGAUUCUGCCGAAUCAGCCGGCGCUGGCGUCGACUCAGGAGGGCAAGGCUUGGGUCCAGGACCAACUGCACAUUCUUGGAAUUGGUCAGGAGGUUGGAUGAGGAGGCCACAUUGACAAUACCCCUGGCACAGCACAAGAAUAAGGGAAAUCAGUGUUAAGGAGCUAGCAGUUUAUGUAGCCUCUUCUGUGACCCUCCAAACUCGUAAAAUGAGUUAUAUACAUGUCAAAUCUGUGUUUUUAAUAUUAAGUUAGACACAAAAGCUGAGGAGAAAUGGCCUGCAUGCACUUUUAGAGAUUCAGAACAUAUUUUAAAAUAUGACCAUCUUGUCAACAAGUACUAAGGCCUUAAUGUAGGCUAUGCUGUAAAUGUAAAAUCCUAUGUUUUUAAGAUUUAAAGCUCAUAUUCUUAAGGUCACAAGUAGUUCUUAUUCUGUUUUUAUAUAUAAAUAUGUUUUUUUGCCCCU
This is a long non-coding RNA of Eleginops maclovinus (Patagonian blennie), 1353 nucleotides long. RefSeq lists it as uncharacterized. Lineage: Eukaryota; Metazoa; Chordata; Actinopteri; Perciformes; Eleginopidae. The record is from RefSeq and is a predicted model, not a curated record. The transcript is spliced from 5 exons.